Molecule: long non-coding RNA, 1127 nt
Filed under: Callithrix jacchus (white-tufted-ear marmoset)
Lineage: Eukaryota; Metazoa; Chordata; Mammalia; Primates; Cebidae
Description: lncRNA (ENSCJAG00000076191.1)
Source: RNAcentral
GUUGUUUGUGUGUAUGUAUCUGUUUAUAGAUGUAUAUACACGUAUUCAUCCAUAUGGUAAAUAUGUUAGUAAUUGUUGUAUAUUCUGUUAGAUUGUUUUAAUCGAUUUAUUUUUAAAUUUAUUUCCCCCAUUAGAAACUAAACUCAUGGAAUCAUGUGCAAUGCUUAUUUGUCUAUACAGUAUCCCUAGUUCAUGACAAGGCGUUUGAAACAAUAAAUAAGUACCUGCUGAUUGAAUGGAGUGACUUGGUCCUGCCAUCUGUAGAGAUGAAUCACUGGCUUAGUCAGUCUGUAAAUAAAAAUUCUGUGUGUGAGUAGAAUUCCAAACCAGGUGCUUAAGAAAAAGCAAAUAGAUAUACAGUACAUGGCUCUCUUCUUUUAAAAAAGAAGACCACACAUUCUUUUUUUAAAAAACUUUAUUUUACAACUGGGCCCAUAGUCCCUUUAUGUAGUCAACUUUGAACAAGCUAAGUAUUAUUUUUAAUACCUACAGCUGUUUUUAAAUCUUUUCAACAUUUGUUUGGCUGUAUGAUAUUUUUUCAAGUAAAGCAAUUUUAAUAUAGCUUGUAUCUCCAUGAAGUUAUUUGAAACACCUGCACAUAACUGUACAUUAGUAAAAUACACCACAUGUUCUGAUUGCACAAAAUAUAUACCCUGAACAUUGUCAAAACCACUAGUGGUAAAAAACAAAACUUUAAAGUUACUACCUUUAUUUAUAAUAAUUAUGAUCUGAAAAGUGUAUCAGUACAAGGAAACAAAAAAGUCACUUUGCACUUUGAAACAUGAGAAAGCAUCUUCUUAUACCAGAUUUUUUAAAAGAACAUAUCAAUGUCUUUUAUCCAUAGCUCAGUGGCAUUAUCAUAUGAAUAACUAGAGAGACCUGGGGAUAAUGCCAACAUCAUGAGGCAGAAAGUUAAAGAGCAAAGAACAGAUGGAGUGUUUUCAUUUAUAGAAAUUUUCAUUUGCCUGGGCAUGGGAGACCAGGAGUUAACAAAUGUUGCCCAAAGGAGCAAAAAAAAAAAAAAAAAAAAAAAAAAAAAGAAAAUGAUAGAUGUAUAGCCCUGCUGCUAUUAUUUGAUUGAAUUCACAUAAUCUAAAACUGUCUGUUCUUUUCUACUCUGAGCAAUA